GCUCCUUUGAUGGCAGUCACCAGGAGCCACGGCAACAGGAAGCCACCUUCACAAUGCUUCUUUUCAGGUGGCAGACCUCACCAAAAUGAACCAAACCUGAAGAGGAGGAAAAUGGCUGACACCAACAGCAGCUAUGAGGAUGUAUUUGUGAGGACUUCUGAAAGAGCCGCCAGGAAAUCCCAGAAAUGCAAGGGGACCAGGAGACAGUGGCAGCAAGGAGGGAGGGAAUACAGAAGAGAGCGGCAAGAAGGAAAAUUACAAGGUGGAAUGAAAAAGGAAUGAAAACUCCCAGCAAAAUGAUGACAUGUCAGUCCUUUACAAGAUGCUCAGAAGACUCUUUACAAUGGCCCUGUUGAUUU
Molecule: long non-coding RNA, 359 nt
Filed under: Equus caballus (horse)
Lineage: Eukaryota; Metazoa; Chordata; Mammalia; Perissodactyla; Equidae
Description: lncRNA (ENSECAG00000038659.3)
Source: RNAcentral